This 451-nucleotide ribosomal RNA is filed under the name uncultured bacterium. RNAcentral's name for it is "partial 16S ribosomal RNA". It matches the Rfam family "Bacterial small subunit ribosomal RNA", at positions 354 to 796 of the family's 1533-position model. The record is from RNAcentral.
GUGGGGAAUAUUGGACAAUGGGGGGAACCCUGAUCCAGCCAUGCCGCGUGUGUGAAGAAGGCCUUUUGGUUGUAAAGCACUUUAAGCGAGGAGGAGGCUACCGAGAUUAAUACUCUUGGAUAGUGGACGUUACUCGCAGAAUAAGCACCGGCUAACUCUGUGCCAGCAGCCGCGGUAAUACAGAGGGUGCAAGCGUUAAUCGGAUUUACUGGGCGUAAAGCGCGCGUAGGUGGCCAAUUAAGUCAAAUGUGAAAUCCCCGAGCUUAACUUGGGAAUUGCAUUCGAUACUGGUUGGCUAGAGUAUGGGAGAGGAUGGUAGAAUUCCAGGUGUAGCGGUGAAAUGCGUAGAGAUCUGGAGGAAUACCGAUGGCGAAGGCAGCCAUCUGGCCUAAUACUGACACUGAGGUACGAAAGCAUGGGGAGCAAACAGGAUUAGAAACCCGGGUAGUCC